GAUUUAGCGGCCGCAAUCCUUGUGCCAGCAGCCGCGGUGAUACGUAGGUCCCGAGCGUUGUCCGGAUUUAUUGGGCGUAAAGCGAGCGCAGGCGGUUUGAUAAGUCUGAAGUUAAAGGCUGUGGCUCAACCAUAGUUCGCUUUGGAAACUGUCAAACUUGAGUGCAGAAGGGGAGAGUGGAAUUCCAUGUGUAGCGGUGAAAUGCGUAGAUAUAUGGAGGAACACCGGUGGCGAAAGCGGCUCUCUGGUCUGUAACUGACGCUGAGGCUCGAAAGCGUGGGGAGCGAACAGGAUUAGAUACCCUGGUAGUCCACGCCGUAAACGAUGAGUGCUAGGUGUUGGCAGUGCCGCAGCUAACGCAUUAAGCACUCCGCCUGGGGAGUACGACCGCAAGGUUGAAACUCAAAGGAAUUGACGGGGGCCCGCACAAGCGGUGGAGCAUGUGGUUUAAUUCGAAGCAACGCGAAGAACCUUACCAGGUCUUGACAUCCAGGUGGUGCAUGGUUGUCGUCAGCUCGUGUCGUGAGAUGUUGGG
RNAcentral lists this ribosomal RNA (535 nucleotides) under uncultured bacterium. Its description in RNAcentral is "bacterial SSU rRNA". It matches the Rfam family "Bacterial small subunit ribosomal RNA", at positions 484 to 1079 of the family's 1533-position model. The record is from RNAcentral.